ACAUGUUUUAUUUUUGUUCUAUUUGCAGAUAGCAUGUAAAAUAUUAUUGCAAAAAGGUAUCCUUCUUUCAAAGACUUCUGGCAGGUGUUUGAUAUGUUAGUUGUAUUGCUCAGUUUAGCUGCGGAAAUUGCCUUUUUUCUUCAACAUGAAAAACUCUUAUGUUACCACAUGGCAACAGAGGGCGCCACAUUUGUUAUCGUGCUUCGACUUUGGAGGAUACCACGUGCAUGUGACAUACGGAAAAAAGAAUACAAGAAACGUCUUGAAGAUCAGCAUCAUUUUUUGAGACUUACAAAAACCGAGACUGAACAGAAAUAUAAAAAAUUGGAAACCACCGUGCAAAACCAGUUAACAGAGAUAGAAACUUAUAGAAGAAUACUUAAGGAAAAUAAUUUAACCAUCAAAAAUGAACAU
Ruditapes philippinarum (Manila clam) is the source of this 414-nucleotide long non-coding RNA. RefSeq lists it as uncharacterized. The transcript is spliced from 3 exons. Lineage: Eukaryota; Metazoa; Mollusca; Bivalvia; Venerida; Veneridae. The record is from RefSeq and is a predicted model, not a curated record.